GAUGAAGAACGUAGCGAAAUGCGAUAAGUCGUGUGAAUUGCAGAAUUCAGUGAAUCAUCGAAUCUUUGAACGCACAUUGCGCCCUUUGGUAUUCCUUAGGGCAUGCCUGUUCGAGCGUCAUUUAAACCUUCAAGCUAAGCUUGGUGUUGGGUGACUGUCCGCUUCACUGCGGACUCGCCUCAAAAUUAUUGGCGGCCGGUACAUUGGCUUCGAGCGCAGCAGAAACGCGAACUCGGGCCCGUCGUAUUGGCUCCCAGAAGCUAUCUUCACAAUUUUGACCUCGGAUCAGGUAGGGAUACCCGCUGAACUUAAGCAUAUCAAUAAGCGGAGGA
Molecule: unclassified non-coding RNA, 332 nt
Filed under: soil metagenome
Description: partial contains 5.8S ribosomal RNA, internal transcribed spacer 2, and large subunit ribosomal RNA
Rfam family: 5.8S ribosomal RNA (bases 1-120)
Source: RNAcentral